This 473-nucleotide ribosomal RNA is filed under the name uncultured bacterium. RNAcentral describes it as "bacterial SSU rRNA". It matches the Rfam family "Bacterial small subunit ribosomal RNA", at positions 60 to 524 of the family's 1533-position model. The record is from RNAcentral.
AGUCGAACGGCAGCACGGGAGCAAUCCUGGUGGCGAGUGGCGAACUGGUGAGUAAUAUAUCGGAACGUGCCCAAUCGUGGGGGAUAACGCAGCGAAAGCUGUGCUAAUACCGCAUACGAUCUACGGAUGAAAGCGGGGGACUCAGCAAUGAGCCUCGCGCGAAUGGAGCGGCCGAUAUCAGAUUAGCUAGUUGGUGGGGUAAAGGCUCACCAAGGCGACGAUCUGUAGCUGGUCUGAGAGGACGACCAGCCACACUGGAACUGAGACACGGUCCAGACUCCUACGGGAGGCAGCAGUGGGGAAUAUUGGACAAUGGGCGAAAGCCUGAUCCAGCCAUGCCGCGUGUGUGAAGAAGGUCUUCGGAUUGUAAAGCACUUUAAGUUGGGAGGAAGGGCAGUUACCUAAUACGUGAUUGUUUUGACGUUACCGACAGAAUAAGCACCGGCUAACUCCGUGCCAGCAGCCGCGGUAAU